This 548-nucleotide ribosomal RNA is filed under the name [Candida] sp. RNAcentral describes it as "Candida sp. (in: Saccharomycetales) partial large subunit ribosomal RNA". It matches the Rfam family "Eukaryotic large subunit ribosomal RNA", at positions 62 to 648 of the family's 3401-position model. Lineage: Eukaryota; Fungi; Ascomycota; Saccharomycetes; Saccharomycetales. The record is from RNAcentral.
AAACCAACAGGGAUUGCCUUAGUAGCGGCGAGUGAAGCGGCAAUAGCUCAAAUUUGAAAUCUGGCGUCUUCGGCGUCCGAGUUGUAAUUUGAAGAAGGUAUCUUUGGUUUUGGCUCUUGUCUAUGUUCCUUGGAACAGGACGUCACAGAGGGUGAGAAUCCCGUGCGAUGAGAUGCCCAAUUCCAUGUAAAGUUCCUUCGACGAGUCGAGUUGUUUGGGAAUGCAGCUCUAAGUGGGUGGUAAAUUCCAUCUAAAGCUAAAUAUUGGCGAGAGACCGAUAGCGAACAAGUACUGUGAAGGAAAGAUGAAAAGAACUUUGAAAAGAGAGUGAAAAAGUACGUGAAAUUGUUGAAAGGGAAGGGCUUGAGAUCAGACUUGGAAUUUUCCAGUAAUGGAGCUUUCCGGGCCAGCAUCAGUUUGGAUGGCAGGAUAAUUGCGUAGGAAAGUGGCACUACUUCGGUGGUGUGUUAUAGCCUGCGUCGAUACUGCCUGUCUAGACUGAGGACUGCGUCUUUGACUAGGAUGCUGGCAUAAUGAUCUUAAGCCGC